Molecule: ribosomal RNA, 450 nt
Filed under: uncultured bacterium
Lineage: Bacteria
Description: bacterial SSU rRNA
Rfam family: Bacterial small subunit ribosomal RNA
Source: RNAcentral
UCGAGGAUCUUCCGCAAUGGGCGCAAGCCUGACGGAGCGACGCCGCGUGUGGGAUGAAGGCCUUCGGGUUGUAAACCACUGUCACUCGUUAAGAAAGGAACUGGUGUUAACAGCGCCAGAAACUGACAAAGGCGAGAGAGGAAGCCACGGCUAACUUCGUGCCAGCAGCCGCGGUAAGACGAAGGUGGCGAGCGUUGUUCGGAAUCACUGGGCAUAAAGCGCACGUAGGCGGCGACGUAAGUUGGGUGUGAAAUCCCUGGGCCCAACCCAGGAACUGCGCCCAGUACUGCGUUGCUUGAGGAUCAAAGGGGUGCAUGGAAUUCCCGGUGGAGCGGUGAAAUGCGUUGAUAUCGGGAGGAACUCCGGCGGCGAAAGCGGUGCACUGGUUGAUUUCUGACGCUGAGGUGCGAAAGCCAGGGGAGCAAACGGGAUUAGAUACCCCCGUAGUCC